Osmia bicornis bicornis is the source of this 994-nucleotide long non-coding RNA. RefSeq lists it as uncharacterized. The record is from RefSeq and is a predicted model, not a curated record. The transcript has 3 exons. Lineage: Eukaryota; Metazoa; Arthropoda; Insecta; Hymenoptera; Megachilidae.
UAAAAAGAAAACUAUCUUCCGUGCACUUUUUUCAUGGCUAAAAUUGCGGAACCAAACUUAUGAUUAUAAAUGACACAUUACGUUAUAUAAAAUCUUAAUUUUGACGAUAUUAAUGCCAAAAUUUGAUUUAGAAUUAAAAUAAUAUAAUUUUCAGUCAUUAAAUAUUAUAAAAUUUGGUAUAUCAUUAAGAAAUAUAAAUAAUAACAUAAAUAGCAAUUCAACUUUUCCCGCGCAAACGUUCACGCGCAAAUGGUGGGGGACCACGGGACUAUAUAUAUGGGACUCUCUCCCCUCUAUCGUCAUUUUCUCCGGAGCCGGCUAUGGCGAGGGUUGCGUGGGGUUGCGCGUCUGGAAGGGAAGCCUACAGGGGUGGGGGAAGCCUGGGCAUUGUCAUCCCCUUUAGGAAAUCUACAUUACUUGUACACAGUUAACUCCAGGUGUUUCAAGGUCAUCCUCGAGAAAACACAGUGCUGAAGAAGAUUUCAAUGUCUUACACGAAUAACAACAGGAAUAAAAUUAUCAUAAGGGGAAAGGAAAUAAAAUAUUAAAAUUAAUACAUCAGUAAUACUUAUUAUUUUAUUAUACAUAUUUAAAAAAAAAAACAAUACAUAUUUCAAGCAGAGUAUUAUGAAAUUGAUUACAUGUUUUUCAAUUCUUUUAAAUGAUGAGAUUCCUAUAAACCACUAUUUUAGUGAUAUUGCAGAGACUUCUCGAGUGAUUAAAAAAAUCUCUAAUAGAUCUAGUACAAUACUGUGCAUCAUGAUCAAUGGAUAUUUCAUGCAACAAAUUAAUAAAUACUUAUGUUAAAAAAUUUUUUUACUUUUAUAUUUUAAAAGAUUCAAAUUCAUAAUACACACUGUACAUAUUGCAAUGCACUUAUUGUUAAUACUAAUGAAUUUAUUUAAAAAGCUUUCCCCACAAACUACCAGAUAAAAUAUAUCAUUUGUGUUCCAUUUUUUAAUGUAUCUAUCUAUGUAUAUAUAUAUAAUUUAAA